GAUGAACGCUGGCGGCGUGCCUAAUACAUGCAAGUCGAGCGAACAGACGAGGAGCUUGCUCCUCUGACGUUAGCGGCGGACGGGUGAGUAACACGUGGAUAACCUACCUAUAAGACUGGGAUAACUUCGGGAAACCGGAGCUAAUACAGGAUAAUAUAUUGAACGGCAUGGUUCAAUAGUGAAAGAGGGAUUUGCUGACACUUAUAGAUGGACCCGGGCCGCAUUAGCUAGUUGGUAAGGAAACGGCUUACCGAGGCAAGGAUGCGUAGACGACCUGGGAGGUGGUCCGUCCACCCUGAACCUGGGCACCGGCCCAGACCCCUACGGGAGGCAGCGGUAGGAAAUCUUCCGCAAUGGGCGAAACCCUGACGGAGCAACGCCGCGUGAGUGAUGAAGUUCUUCGGUUCGUAAAACUCUGUUAUUAGGGAAGAACAAAUGUGUAAGUAACUAUGCUCGUCUUGACGGUACCUAAGCAGAAAGCCACGGCUAACUACGU
This 496-nucleotide ribosomal RNA is filed under the name uncultured bacterium. RNAcentral describes it as "partial 16S ribosomal RNA". It matches the Rfam family "Bacterial small subunit ribosomal RNA", at positions 28 to 506 of the family's 1533-position model. The record is from RNAcentral.